RNAcentral lists this small nucleolar RNA (94 nucleotides) under Pundamilia nyererei. Its description in RNAcentral is "Small nucleolar SNORD12/SNORD106 (ENSPNYG00000001244.1)". It matches the Rfam family "Small nucleolar SNORD12/SNORD106". Rfam says of the family: This family belong to the C/D class of snoRNA which contain the C (UGAUGA) and D (CUGA) box motifs. This family includes the human ortholog of mouse snoRNA HBII-99 and human snoRNA U106. The record is from Rfam by way of RNAcentral. Lineage: Eukaryota; Metazoa; Chordata; Actinopteri; Cichliformes; Cichlidae.
GAUGUGGUUAAUGAUGUACACUUUUUUCCCCGUCUUAUCGACUUUGGUGAAAAAAAAGGUUGAAAACUUUGCCAGUUAAGUCUGAAGCCACAUG